Molecule: ribosomal RNA, 190 nt
Filed under: Bacillus sp. MUM 116
Lineage: Bacteria; Bacillati; Bacillota; Bacilli; Caryophanales; Bacillaceae
Description: partial 23S ribosomal RNA
Rfam family: Bacterial large subunit ribosomal RNA
Source: RNAcentral
AGGUUAAGUUAGAAAGGGCGCACGGUGAAUGCCUUGGCACUAGGAGCCGAUGAAGGACGGGACUAACACCGAUAUGCUUCGGGGAGCUGUAAGUAAGCUUUGAUCCGGAGAUUUCCGAAUGGGGGAACCCACUGCUCGUAAUGGAGCAGUAUCUUUAUCUGAAUACAUAGGAUAUUGAAGGCAGACCCGG